RNAcentral lists this ribosomal RNA (497 nucleotides) under uncultured bacterium. Its description in RNAcentral is "partial 16S ribosomal RNA". It matches the Rfam family "Bacterial small subunit ribosomal RNA", at positions 28 to 507 of the family's 1533-position model. The record is from RNAcentral.
GAUGAACGCUGGCGGCGUGCCUAAUACAUGCAAGUCGAGCGAACGGACGAGAAGCUUGCUUCUCUGAUGUUAGCGGCGGACGGGUGAGUAGCACGUGGAUAACCUACCUAUAAGACUGGGAUAACUUCGGGAAACCGUAGCUAAUACCGGAUAAUAUUUUGAACCGCAUGGUUCAACAGUGAACGCCGGUCUUGCUGUCACUUAUUGAUGGAUCCGCGCUGCAUUAGCUAGUUGGUAAGGUAACGGCUUACCAAGGCAACGAUGCAUAGCCGACCUGAGAGGGUGAUCAGCCACACUGGAACUGAGACACGGUCCAGACUCCUACGGGAGGCAGCAGUAGGGAAUCUUCGGCAAAGGGCGAAAGCCUGACGGAGCAACGCCGCGUGAGUGAUGAAGGUCUUCGGAUCGUAAAACUCUGUUAUUAGGGAAGAACAUAUGUGUAAGAAACUGUGCACAUCUUGACGGUACCUAAUCAGAAAGCCACGGCUAACUACGUG